This 1137-nucleotide ribosomal RNA is filed under the name Bacillus safensis. RNAcentral describes it as "bacterial SSU rRNA". It matches the Rfam family "Bacterial small subunit ribosomal RNA", at positions 52 to 1166 of the family's 1533-position model. Lineage: Bacteria; Bacillati; Bacillota; Bacilli; Caryophanales; Bacillaceae. The record is from RNAcentral.
AUCAUGGAUCAGGCUGGAACACCUCCUUAGAGUUUGAUCAUGGCUCACGGUGGAACACCUACUUAAAGUUUGAUCAUCUGUCUGUAAGACUGGCAUAACUACGGGAAACCGGAGCUAAUACCGGAUAGUUCCUUGAACCGCAUGGUUCAAGGAUGAAAGACGGUUUCGGCUGUCACUUACAGAUGGACCCGCGGCGCAUUAGCUAGUUGGUGGGGUAAUGGCUCACCAAGGCGACGAUGCGUAGCCGACCUGAGAGGGUGAUCGGCCACACUGGGACUGAGACACGGCCCAGACUCCUACGGGAGGCAGCAGUAGGGAAUCUUCCGCAAUGGACGAAAGUCUGACGGAGCAACGCCGCGUGAGUGAUGAAGGUUUUCGGAUCGUAAAGCUCUGUUGUUAGGGAAGAACAAGUGCGAGAGUAACUGCUCGCACCUUGACGGUACCUAACCAGAAAGCCACGGCUAACUACGUGCCAGCAGCCGCGGUAAUACGUAGGUGGCAAGCGUUGUCCGGAAUUAUUGGGCGUAAAGGGCUCGCAGGCGGUUUCUUAAGUCUGAUGUGAAAGCCCCCGGCUCAACCGGGGAGGGUCAUUGGAAACUGGGAAACUUGAGUGCAGAAGAGGAGAGUGGAAUUCCACGUGUAGCGGUGAAAUGCGUAGAGAUGUGGAGGAACACCAGUGGCGAAGGCGACUCUCUGGUCUGUAACUGACGCUGAGGAGCGAAAGCGUGGGGAGCGAACAGGAUUAGAUACCCUGGUAGUCCACGCCGUAAACGAUGAGUGCUAAGUGUUAGGGGGUUUCCGCCCCUUAGUGCUGCAGCUAACGCAUUAAGCACUCCGCCUGGGGAGUACGGUCGCAAGACUGAAACUCAAAGGAAUUGACGGGGGCCCGCACAAGCGGUGGAGCAUGUGGUUUAAUUCGAAGCAACGCGAAGAACCUUACCAGGUCUUGACAUCCUUCUGACAACCCUAGAGAUAGGGCUUUCCCUUCGGGGACAGAGUGACAGGUGGUGCAUGUUUGUCGUCAGCUCGUGUCGGGNAGAUGUUGGGUUAAGUCCNGCAACGAGCGCAACCCUUUGAUCUUAAGUUGCCAGCAUUCAGUUGGGCNNUCCUAAGGUGACUGCCGGUUGACAAACCCGG